AGUGAACGCUGGCGGUAGGCCUAACACAUGCAAGUCGAACGGCAGCACAGUAAGAGCUUGCUCUUACGGGUGGCGAGUGGCGGACGGGUGAGGAGUACGUCGCCAUCUACUUUUUCGUGGGGAAUAACGUAGGGAAAAUUACACAAAUACAGCAGACGACCUACGGGUGAAAUCAGGGGAUCUUCGGACCUUGCGCGAUUGAAUGAGCCGAUGUCGGAGUAGCUAGUUGGGGGGGUAAAGGCACACCAAGGCGACGAUCCGUAGCUGGUCUGAGAGGAUGAUCGGCCACACUGGAACUGAGACACGGUCCAGACUCCUACGGGAGGCAGCAGUGGGGAAUAUUGGACAAUGGGCGCAAGCCUGAUCCAGCCAUACCGCGUGGGUGAAGAAGGCCUUCGGGUUGUAAAGCCCUGUUGUUGGGAAAGAAAAGCAGCAGGUUAAUACCCCGCUGUUCUGACGGUACCCAAAGAAUAAGCACCGGCUAACUUCGUG
Molecule: ribosomal RNA, 492 nt
Filed under: uncultured bacterium
Lineage: Bacteria
Description: partial 16S ribosomal RNA
Rfam family: Bacterial small subunit ribosomal RNA
Source: RNAcentral